UACGGAAGGCAGCAGUGGGGAAUAUUGCACAAUGGGCGCAAGCCUGAUGCAGCCAUGCCGCGUGUAUGAAGAAGGCCUUCGGGUUGUAAAGUACUUUCAGUCGUGAGGAAGGUGUUAAGGUUAAUAACCUUAGCAAUUGACGUUAGCGACAGAAGAAGCACCGGCUAACUCCGUGCCAGCAGCCGCGGUAAUACGGAGGGUGCGAGCGUUAAUCGGAAUUACUGGGCGUAAAGGGCACGCAGGCGGUUAAUUAAGUUGGAUGUGAAAUCCCCGGGCUUAACCUGGGAAUGGCAUUCAAGACUGGUUAGCUAGAGUCUUGUAGAGGGGGUAGAAUUCCAUGUGUAGCGGUGAAAUGCGUAGAGAUGUGGAGGAAUACCGGUGGCGAAAGGCGGCCCCUGGACAAAGACUGACGCUCGAUGUGCGAAAGCGUGGGGAGCAAACAGGAUUAGAUACC
This 454-nucleotide ribosomal RNA is filed under the name uncultured bacterium. RNAcentral's name for it is "bacterial SSU rRNA". It matches the Rfam family "Bacterial small subunit ribosomal RNA", at positions 340 to 786 of the family's 1533-position model. The record is from RNAcentral.